RNAcentral lists this transfer RNA (60 nucleotides) under Caudoviricetes sp. RNAcentral describes it as "tRNA-OTHER". Lineage: Duplodnaviria; Heunggongvirae; Uroviricota; Caudoviricetes. The record is from RNAcentral.
CAAAGCCAAGCGGUUGGCUUCCCAAGCCGAGGGUCGCGGGUUCGAGUCCCGUCUAUCGCU